UAAAAGAUGUUGGAUAACCAUUUGUUUGAAGUGGUGUAGUGGUGUAGGGUUUCCUGCCUAGGCAGGGGGUUGGACUAGAAGGCCUCCAAGGUCCCUUCUGACUCUGUUAAGCUAAUCUAUUCUAUGCUAUUCUAUGCUAUUCUAUUCUAUUUCUAUUCCAUUCCAUUCUAUAUACUCUCUCCUCUUCUCUUCUUCCAUUCUACAUUCCUAUUCUAUUCUAUUCUAUUCCAUUCCAUUCCAUUCCAUUCCAUAUACUCUCUUCUCUUCUCUUCUUCCAUUCUACAUUCCUAUUCUAUUCUAUUCUAUUCCAUUCCAUUCCAUUCCAUAUACUCUCUUCUCUUCUCUCAUUCUAUAUUCCUAUUCUAUUCUAUUCCAUUCCAUUCCAUUCCAUAUACUCUCUUCUCUUCUCUUCUUCCAUUCUAUAUUCCUAUUCUAUUCUCUUCCAUUCCAUUUCAUUCCAUUCUAUAUACUCUCUUCUCUUCUUCCAUUCUAUAUUCCUAUUCUAUUCUAUUCCAUUCCAUUCCAUUCCAUUCCAUAUACUCUCUUCUCUUCUCUUCUUCCAUUCUAUAUUCCUACUCUAUUCUAUUCUAUUCAUUCCAUUCUAUAUACUCCUCUUCUCUUCUCUUUUCCUCUUCUUCAAUUCUAUAUUCCUAUUCUAUUCUAUUCUAUUCUAUUCUAUUCUAUUCUAUUCUAUUCCAUAUACUCUGUUCUCUUCUUCCAUUCUAUAUUCCUAUUCUAUUCUAUUCCAUUCCAUUCCACAUACUCCCUUCUCUUCUCUUCUUCCAUUCUAUAUUCCUAUUCUAUUCUAUUCUAUUCUAUUCUAUUCUAUUCAUUCCAUUCUAUAUACUCCUCAUCUCUUCUCUUCUUCCAUUCUAUAUUCCUAUACUAUUCUAUUCUAUUCUAUUCUAUUCUAUUCUAUUCUAUUCUAUUCUAUUCUAUUCUAUUCUAUUCUAUUCAUUCCAUAUUCUCUUCUCUUCUCUUCUCUUCUCUUCUCUUCUCUUCUCUUCUCUUCUCUUCCCUUCCCUUCCCUUCCCUUCCCUUCCCUUCCCUUCCCUUCCCUUCCAUUCCAUUCUAUAUACUCUCUUGUCUUAUUCCAUUCUAUAUUCCUAUUCCUAUUC
Molecule: long non-coding RNA, 1118 nt
Filed under: Notechis scutatus (mainland tiger snake)
Lineage: Eukaryota; Metazoa; Chordata; Lepidosauria; Squamata; Elapidae
Description: lncRNA (ENSNSUG00000000432.1)
Source: RNAcentral